AUGUUUUCUUCUCAAUCCCUGAGUCGUGUCAACAAUAUUCGCACUACCUUGAUCAAUGCACAGAAGGGCACCCAAUCGGUUGCUGCAUACUACGCUCACAUGCGUGGCCUUGCCGAUGAACUCGCCGCGGCCGACAAGCCCAUCCAGGACGAUGAGCUCAUCUCCUACCUGCUGCAUGGGCUGGAUAUGGACUACCAGCCCCUCGUCUCCGCCCUCGACGCCCGUGUCACGCCUGUCUCCCUCGACGAGCUGUACUCCAUGAUGAGCAACUUCGAUCAGCAUGUGGCUCAGUUUCACAGCACCGGC
RNAcentral lists this ribosomal RNA (306 nucleotides) under Triticum aestivum (bread wheat). Its description in RNAcentral is "partial small subunit ribosomal RNA". Lineage: Eukaryota; Viridiplantae; Streptophyta; Magnoliopsida; Poales; Poaceae. The record is from RNAcentral.